GUUUUGCGGCUUACUGGUAGAGCGCUCGCCUCACACGUGAGAGACCCUGGGUUUGAUCCUCAGCACCACA
Molecule: transfer RNA, 70 nt
Filed under: Marmota monax (woodchuck)
Lineage: Eukaryota; Metazoa; Chordata; Mammalia; Rodentia; Sciuridae
Description: tRNA.Val
Rfam family: tRNA (bases 5-65)
About the family: Transfer RNA (tRNA) molecules are approximately 80 nucleotides in length. Their secondary structure includes four short double-helical elements and three loops (D, anti-codon, and T loops).
Source: RNAcentral